UACGAAGGGGGCUAGCGUUGCUCGGAAUCACUGGGCGUAAAGGGUGCGUAGGCGGGUGUUUAAGUCAGGGGUGAAAUCCUGGAGCUCAACUCCAGAACUGCCUUUGAUACUGAAGAUCUUGAGUUCGGGAGAGGUGAGUGGAACUGCGAGUGUAGAGGUGAAAUUCGUAGAUAUUCGCAAGAACACCAGUGGCGAAGGCGGCUCACUGGCCCGGUACUGACGCUGAGGCACGAAAGCGUGGGGAGCAAACAGG
This 253-nucleotide ribosomal RNA is filed under the name uncultured bacterium. RNAcentral describes it as "partial 16S ribosomal RNA". It matches the Rfam family "Bacterial small subunit ribosomal RNA", at positions 524 to 776 of the family's 1533-position model. The record is from RNAcentral.